CNUGGAGUGGUCAUGCGUUAUCNGGAAUUACUUGGGCGUAAAGCGUUCGUAGGCGGUUUGUUANGUUAGAUGUGAAAGCCCCGGGCUUAACCUGGGAACUGCAUUUAAAACUGGCAAACUCGAGUUUAGGAGAGGGAAGUGGAAUUUCAGGUGUAGCAGUGAAAUGCGUAGAGAUCUGAAGGAACACCAGUGGCGAAGGCGACUUCCUGGACUAAAACUGACGCUGAGGAACGAAAGCGUGGGUAGCAAACGGGAUUAGAUACCCCGGUAGUCCACGCCGUAAACGAUGUCAACUAGCCGUUGGGCCUAUAUACAGGCUUAGUGGCGGAGCUAACGUAUUAAGUUGACCGCCUGGGGAGUACGGCCGCAAGGUUAAAACUCAAAUGAAUUGACGGGGGCCCGCACAAGCGGUGGAGCAUGUGGUUUAAUUCGAUGCAACGCGAAGAACCUUACCUACCCUUGACAUCCAGAGAAUCUGUUAGAGAUAGUAGAGUGCCUUCGGGAACUCUGAGACAGGUGCUGCAUGGCUGUCGCCAGCUCGUGUCGUGAGAUGUUGGGUUAAGUCCCGUAACGAGCGCAACCCUUAUCCUUAGUUGCUAGCAGGUAAUGCUGAGAACUCUAAGGAGACUGCCGGUGAUAAACCGGAGGAAGGUGGGGACNACGUCAAGUCAUCAUGGCCCUUAUGGGUAGGGCUACCCCGUGCUACAA
RNAcentral lists this ribosomal RNA (708 nucleotides) under uncultured bacterium. Its description in RNAcentral is "bacterial SSU rRNA". It matches the Rfam family "Bacterial small subunit ribosomal RNA", at positions 524 to 1230 of the family's 1533-position model. The record is from RNAcentral.